Molecule: long non-coding RNA, 919 nt
Organism: Acanthochromis polyacanthus (spiny chromis)
Lineage: Eukaryota; Metazoa; Chordata; Actinopteri; Pomacentridae
Exons: 2
Source: RefSeq, a predicted model, not a curated record
UCCUGCUCUCCUUAAUGUUCCUGGUUUCCAUCCUAUUCUUUCUAUUCUCCUCGUUAUUAAUCUUAUGUCAUUAUAUUCUGCCUUCAUCUGCUCGUUCAUACAUUCAUGAAGAAAUCUUCACCUUCAGGUUUGUCCUUAUUUAAAUAGAAACUGAUCUUCAGCUCACUUUUCUGUUUCUGAGUCUCGUUAAGGUUUAAAAUUGAUGAAGAAUCGGUUCAACUCACGCAGCUCGAUGUGAGGAUUCAGAGUCUGUUUCUUCUGUUUAUCAGCCGAGUCUGAUUCCUCUGCAGAAAGGAAGUAAACAAGUAAACAUUUAGAGGCUUUAAGGAAGUAAACAAGGUAAAUGUUUAGAGGCUUUAAAGAAGUAAACAAGUAAACAUUUAGAGGCUUUAAGGAAGUAAACAAGGUAAAUGUUUAGAGGCUUUAAAGAAGUAAACAAGUAAACAUUUAGAGGCUUUAAGGAAGUAAACAAGGUAAAUGUUUAGAGGCUUUAAAGAAGUAAACAAGUAAACAUUUAGAGGCUUUAAAGAAGUAAACAAGUAAACAUUUAGAGGCUUUAAAGAAGUAAACAAGGUAAAUGUUUAGAGGCUUUAAAGAAGUAAACAAGGUAGACAUUUAGAAGCUUUAAAUGUUUAUCUUCAGGUAAACGUUUAGAAGCUCUGACUCUGCUCUUAUUAAACUCACUGAUGGCUUCGGCGUCGCUGCUGCUGCGGUUCUGAGACGACGUCGACUCGUUGGGUCGAGCCGGACUGUUCUUCAUCCGACCGUCGACACUGCUGGAAAGAAAACAGGAAAUGUACUGGAUUGAACCCGAGAGUUUAUUCAGUUUAAGAGUUCAGUCUGCUUUGUUCCUUCUGUUGUUUUAAUGUUUUAUUUAAAAAAAUCAACUAAUAAAACUCUUUAAUGCCUUUUAUUUCAA